GACGAACGCUGGCGGCGUGCCUAAUACAUGCAAGUUGAGCGCUGAAGGUUGGUACUUGUCCCGACUGGAUGAGCAGCGAACGGGUGAGUAACGCGUGGGGAAUCUGCCUUUGAGCGGGGGACAACAUUUGGAAACGAAUGCUAAUACCGCAUAAAAACUUUAAACACAAGUUUUAAGUUUGAAAGAUGCAAUUGCAUCACUCAAAGAUGAUCCCGCGUUGUAUUAGCUAGUUGGUGAGGUAAAGGCUCACCAAGGCGAUGAUACAUAGCCGACCUGAGAGGGUGAUCGGCCACAUUGGGACUGAGACACGGCCCAAGCUCCUACGGGAGGCAGCAGUAGGGAAUCUUCGGCAAUGGACGAAAGUCUUACCGAGCAACGCCGCGUGAGUGAAGAAGGGUUUCGGAUCGUAAAACUCUGUUGGUAGAGAAGAACGUUGGUGGGAGUGGAAAGCUCAUCAAGUGACGGUAACUACCCAGAAAGGGACGGCUAACUACGUG
This 497-nucleotide ribosomal RNA is filed under the name uncultured bacterium. RNAcentral's name for it is "partial 16S ribosomal RNA". It matches the Rfam family "Bacterial small subunit ribosomal RNA", at positions 28 to 507 of the family's 1533-position model. The record is from RNAcentral.